Molecule: ribosomal RNA, 446 nt
Filed under: uncultured bacterium
Lineage: Bacteria
Description: bacterial SSU rRNA
Rfam family: Bacterial small subunit ribosomal RNA
Source: RNAcentral
CCAGACUCCUACGGGAGGCAGCAGUGGGGAAUAUUGCACAAUGGGGGAAACCCUGAUGCAGCGACGCCGCGUGAGCGAUGAAGUAUUUCGGUAUGUAAAGCCCUAUCAGCAGGGAAGAAGAUGACGGUACCUGACUAAGAAGCCCCGGCUAACUACGUGCCAGCAGCCGCGGUAAUACGUAGGGGGCAAGCGUUAUCCGGAUUUACUGGGUGUAAAGGGAGCGUAGGCGGCGUGCCAAGUCUGAUGUGAAAGGCCGGGGCUCAACCCCGGGACUGCAUUGGAAACUGGCAUGCUGGAGUGCCGGAGGGGCAAGCGGAAUUCCUAGUGUAGCGGUGAAAUGCGUAGAUAUUAGGAGGAACACCAGUGGCGAAGGCGGCUCACUGGACUGUAACUGACGUUGAGGCUCGAAAGCGUGGGGAGCAAACAGGAUUAGAUACCCGGGUAAU